RNAcentral lists this ribosomal RNA (254 nucleotides) under uncultured bacterium. RNAcentral's name for it is "partial 16S ribosomal RNA". It matches the Rfam family "Bacterial small subunit ribosomal RNA", at positions 524 to 776 of the family's 1533-position model. The record is from RNAcentral.
UACGUAGGGGGCAAGCGUUGUCCGGAUUCAUUGGGCGUAAAGAGCGUGUAGGCGGCCAGGUAGGUCGGUUGUGAAAACUGGAGGCUCAACCUUCAGAGGUCGACCGAAACCAUCUGGCUAGAGUCCGGGAGAGGAGAGUGGAAUUCCUGGUGUAGCGGUGAAAUGCGCAGAUAUCAGGAGGAACACCGAUGGCGAAGGCAGGUCUCUGGGCAUUAACUGACGCUGGAGGAGCGAAAGCAUGGGGAGCGAACAGG